ACAUGGUGAUUGACCCCACCCUCUGCAA
RNAcentral lists this transfer RNA (28 nucleotides) under Craugastor crassidigitus (slim-fingered rain frog). RNAcentral describes it as "partial tRNA-Met". The record is from RNAcentral. Lineage: Eukaryota; Metazoa; Chordata; Amphibia; Anura; Craugastoridae.